Molecule: long non-coding RNA, 2233 nt
Filed under: Zostera marina
Lineage: Eukaryota; Viridiplantae; Streptophyta; Magnoliopsida; Alismatales; Zosteraceae
Description: long non-coding RNA (ZMAR_LNC001997)
Source: RNAcentral
UCACGAGUAUUAUGGUUUUUGAAUGAAAAAGCUUGGCUCUGCUUUUGAGUUUUGAUUAAAUUGAUGUAAUUAAAAUUAUUAAGAAAAAUCCCGAUAGAAUCUUUCAUGCAUUGAUGCUGUCGUGGUUGAAUCUUGAAUACUUUAUCCACUUUGAUUUAUCCUUUGCCCUGCAUAUUGGCCAUCGAGUAAGAGAGUAUGGGCAAAACACUUUUUGAGGUUAUUAAGGCCGAUCAGGUCAAUUGAUUUGAUUCAUAUUUGAAAUUUAUUUAAUGAUUUUGAGAUUGAGAUGCAGUUUGGAUGUAUUUUUUGUAAGCAAUUUGAUUAGAACAUGAUACAUGGUUUAUCUCAUCUGUAUCACUGUAUGGGUGAAAACUGGAAAAUAAGUGGUGAGUGGUGAGUGGUGAGUGGUGAGGACUUUUUGAUAUUAGAGUAUUUAACCCUAUCAUAAUAGUACCAUCCACUCAUUCAGAGUCGGGAAUUAAAAUUUAAAAGGUUCAGGGUAUAUCAUAGCCCCUGGAGGCUGAAGCUGGAUGGGUCUUAGAACCAGCCAUCUCAGUCUGUCUCGCCUGAGGAAAAUAAGGAAUGAACCAAAUACCUUUUCACUGUGGUAUUUUGCAUUUCCUAUAUUUGCUGUCAAUAUUGUUUGCUGCUGGGAAGUUUAGAUAUUUCCAUUUGUUUCAAUAUUAAGAGAGGACUGAUUUAGGUGUAUCUUCGUUCAAGAUGAUCUACAAAAAGACAAAAAAAAAAAAUGAUAAUGAUUGUAAAUCUUUUUUUUAAUAUCUCCUUUAUUAAGAGUUUGAUAAAUGAUAAUGAAUAGGAAGUCAUAUUAAAUAGAUGGUGUUAAAGGUUAUGACCACAUGCACGGUCCCCAAGAACAUCAUAUCAGACAAGACAAGAACAGUUAACGUGACAUGUCUGUCACUAAAAUAGAAUCCAAUGUUUGCUAAAAUACACAACCAUACAGUCUUACACAUACAAACACAUGAUCGAUCAACAAUCCAAGUUUGAACUCCACCCCACCCUACUCAACAAGUUCCACUGUUUAUCUAUCUCUAGUCUCUACCUAUAUUUUUUAUUUAAGACCCAUCAUAUAUUAAAGAGGUAAAAUAGUUUUUACAGUAAAAUAAAUAAGUGACAUAAAAUUAAAUUUUACUCCAGAUGUUCCAGCAUGGGUUGUUGUGAUUUUGGAACUUGAGGUGAAUGGUCUGGAUUUUGAUUUUAGCACCUCCACAUCUGAUAGAGUAGGAUUCCAAACUGCGCCCAGAUUAUGCCACCUUGAUUUGCUAGAGUCACUGCAAAAUUUGAAACAAAUAUAAACCGUUGUUGGAAAAAAUUCUCGUUUUCUCUUGAUUUAUAAGCUUAAUUUUUGUUUCCAGUAAUUCCACAAUAGAUAUGUUUGUGCUUAAAGCUGAGAGCCACUAUCUCCUUUUUCCUCUUUCCCCUAUUCAUCCCUCUCACAUUCCAUACCAGUAGGAUCAUGUCGAGGGUAGGCGCAACUCCUGAUAGUGGAUUUUGAUCACUCCUGAGCAGCUACAGCUUUCUUAUCAGUUGCAAUUGCCUUGGACUUCUUUUUCUUCUUCGCUAUUUGGAGGACCCGUGAGAAGUUCAGAGAAUUAUGUUGCCUCUGCCUGUUGGUCGUGAGCCAAUGAGCCAUCUGAAAAGAAUAAGGCCGAGAGAUGAAAUUGUUCGGGGAGAAGAGAAAGAGAGGAAGAUGGACAGACACUCACCCGGAGGAUGAGGGUGUCCCAAGGACCGCCGGCAUACCUCCAUUUUUUCCCAUCUUCUUCUUCCUGCUUUACAACUACCAUAUGAAAGAAGAAAAAUUACCUGGUGGGUAGAUCUGUGUGAAUCUUGCUUGGAAAUUGGAAUGGUGAAUGAUGAUGGAGUGUGAAGUAAUUGGAUGAAUCGCCGAUAUAUAUUAAGAACCAACCUCUGCUAUCUAUCGAAAGGCGUAAAAACGACUCUCUUGUUUGGAAGAACGUCAUGAAACAAAGCCGCAUCAAGUAGAAUUAAUGAACUACUUUAAACUCAAUUUUAAUUAGAUAUCUAUAUUGAUUGAUACAUCAUUCAUAAAAUAUCUUAUAAUUUUUUAAGGGAACAACGAAUCAUAUCUUGGAAAAAACAUAUGGUCGAAACCAUUUUAAUUAAUCAAAAUUGCCUUAACAAAAAAAGAACUUUAAUGAUUAUGAUAAACUUUGUUUGGGCCUUAGCCCCUCUCCUCUCUUUUUAAGAA